AACGCGAAGAACCUUACCUACCCUUGACAUCCUGCGAAAUUCACAGAGAUGUGGAAGUGCCGAAAGGAACGCAGAGACAGGUGCUGCAUGGCUGUCGUCAGCUCGUGUUGUGAGAUGUUGGGUUAAGUCCCGUAACGAGCGCAACCCUUAUCCUUAGUUGCCAACAUGUAAAGGUGGGGACUCUAAGGAGACUGCUGGUGAUGAACCGGAGGAAGGCGGGGACGACGUCAAGUCAUCAUGGCCUUUAUGGGUAGGGCUACACACGUGCUACAAUGGGGCGUACAGAGGGUAGCGAAGCUGCAAAGCGGAGCCAAUCUCGAAAAGCGUCUCGUAGUCCGGAUCGGAGUCUGCAACUCGACUCCGUGAAGUCGGAAUCGCUAGUAAUCGCGAAUCAGAAUGUCGCGGUGAAUACGUUCCCGGGCCUUGUA
RNAcentral lists this ribosomal RNA (428 nucleotides) under uncultured Gammaproteobacteria bacterium. Its description in RNAcentral is "bacterial SSU rRNA". It matches the Rfam family "Bacterial small subunit ribosomal RNA", at positions 958 to 1385 of the family's 1533-position model. Lineage: Bacteria; Pseudomonadati; Pseudomonadota; Gammaproteobacteria. The record is from RNAcentral.